GAUGAACGCUGGCGGCGUGCCUAAUACAUGCAAGUAGAACGCUGAAGGAGGAGCUUGCUCUUCUGGAUGAGUUGCGAACGGGUGAGUAACGCGUAGAUAACCUGCCUGGUAGCGGGGGAUAACUAUUGGAAACGAUAGCUAAUACCGCAUGACAACAGUUAUUGCAUGAUAACUGUCUAAAAGUGGCAAAUGCUCCACUACCAGAUGGACCUGCGUUGUCUUAGCUAGUUGGUGAGGUAAGGGCUCACCAAGGCGACGAUACAUAGCCGACCGGCGAGGGUGGACGGCCACACUGGGACUGGGACACGGCCCACACUCCUACGGGAGGCAGCAGUAGGGAAUCUGCGGCAAUGGACGGAAGUCUGACCGAGCAACGCCGCGUGAGUGGAGAAGGAUUUCGGAUCGUAAAGCUCUGUUGUCUGAGAAGAACGAGUGUGAGAGUUGAAUGUUCACACUGUGACGGUAUCUGAACAGAAAGCGACGGCUAACUACGUG
RNAcentral lists this ribosomal RNA (495 nucleotides) under uncultured bacterium. Its description in RNAcentral is "partial 16S ribosomal RNA". It matches the Rfam family "Bacterial small subunit ribosomal RNA", at positions 28 to 507 of the family's 1533-position model. The record is from RNAcentral.